UACGAAGGGGGCUAGCGUUGCUCGGAAUUACUGGGCGUAAAGCGCGCGCAGGUGGUUCCUUAAGUCUGAUGUGAAAGCCCACGGCUCAACCGUGGAGGGUCAUUGGAAACUGGGGGACUUGAGUACAGAAGAGAAGAGUGGAAUUCCACGUGUAGCGGUGAAAUGCGUAGAGAUGUGGAGGAACACCAGUGGCGAAGGCGACUCUUUGGUCUGUAACUGACGCUGAGGCGCGAAAGCGUGGGGAGCAAACAGG
This 253-nucleotide ribosomal RNA is filed under the name uncultured bacterium. RNAcentral describes it as "partial 16S ribosomal RNA". It matches the Rfam family "Bacterial small subunit ribosomal RNA", at positions 524 to 776 of the family's 1533-position model. The record is from RNAcentral.